GAUGAACGCUGGCGGCGUGCUUAACACAUGCAAGUCGAACGGGAAACCUUUUAAUGAAGCUUCGGCAGAUUUAGCUGGUUUCUAGUGGCGGACGGGUGAGUAACGCGUGGGUAACCUGCCUUAUACAGGGGGAUAACAGUCAGAAAUGACUGCUAAUACCGCAUAAGCGCACAGGACCGCAUGGUCCGGUGUGAAAAACUCCGGUGGUAUAAGAUGGACCCGCGUUGGAUUAGCUUGUUGGUGGGGUAACGGCUCACCAAGGCGACGAUCCAUAGCCGGCCUGUGAGGGUGAACGGCCACAUUUGGACUGAGACACGGCCCAGACUCCUACGGGAGGCAGCAGUGGGGAAUAUUGCACAAUGGGGGAAACCCUGAUGCAGCGACGCCGCGUGAAGGAAGAAGUAUCUCGGUAUGUAAACUUCUAUCAGCAGGGAAGAUAGUGACGGUACCUGACUAAGAAGCCCCGGCUAACUACGUG
RNAcentral lists this ribosomal RNA (478 nucleotides) under uncultured bacterium. RNAcentral describes it as "partial 16S ribosomal RNA". It matches the Rfam family "Bacterial small subunit ribosomal RNA", at positions 28 to 507 of the family's 1533-position model. The record is from RNAcentral.